UCUGCCUAGUAGUGGGGGAUAACUGGCCGAAAGGUAAGCUAAUACCGCAUACGUCCCACGGGAGAAAGCAGGGGACUCCUCGGAGCCUUGCGCUAUUAGAUGAGCCUAGGUCGGAUUAGUUAGUUGGUGGGGUAAUGGCUCACCAAGACCGCGAUCCGUAACUGGUCUGAGAGGAUGAUCAGUCACACUGGAACUGAGACACGGUCCAGACUCCUACGGGAGGCAGCAGUGGGGAAUAUUGGACAAUGGGGGAAACCCUGAUCCAGCCAUGCCGUGUGUGUGAAGAAGGCCUUCGGGUUGUAAAGCACUUUAAUUUGGGAGGAAGGGCUUACGGUUAAUAACCGCUAAGUUUUGACGUUACCAAAAGAAUAAGCACCGGCUAACUUCGUGCCAGCAGCCGCGGUAAUACGAAGGGUGCGAGCGUUAAUCGGAAUUACUGGGCGUAAAGCGCGCGUAGGUGGUUCAUUAAGUUAGGAGUGAAAGCCCCGGGCUCAACCUGGGAAUUGCUUCUAAAACUGGUGAGCUAGAGUACGGUAGAGGGUGGUGGAAUUUCCUGUGUAGCGGUGAAAUGCGUAGAUAUAGGAAGGAACAUCAGUGGCGAAGGCGACCACCUGGACUGAUACUGACACUGAGGUGCGAAAGCGUGGGGAGCAAACAGGAUUAGAUACCCCUGGUAAUCCACGCCGUAAACGAUGUCAACUA
Molecule: ribosomal RNA, 702 nt
Filed under: uncultured bacterium
Lineage: Bacteria
Description: bacterial SSU rRNA
Rfam family: Bacterial small subunit ribosomal RNA
Source: RNAcentral